AGAAACUUAUGUUAACCAAACUAGAAGCCUUCAAAGCUUCCGAUGGGGGUUAAAUUCCCUCAGUUUCUG
Molecule: transfer RNA, 69 nt
Filed under: Heteromycteris japonicus
Lineage: Eukaryota; Metazoa; Chordata; Actinopteri; Pleuronectiformes; Soleidae
Description: tRNA-Trp
Rfam family: tRNA
About the family: Transfer RNA (tRNA) molecules are approximately 80 nucleotides in length.
Source: RNAcentral